GGGUGAAGGAACUAGGCAAAAUGGUACCGUAACUUCGGGAGAAGGUACGCUCUUGAUGGUGAAGUCCCUUGCGGAUGGAGCUGACGAGAGUCGCAGAUACCAGGUGGCUGCAACUGUUUAUUAAAAACACAGCACUGUGCAAAAUCGUAAGAUGACGUAUACGGUGUGACGCCUGCCCGGUGCCGGAAGGUUAAUUGAUGGGGUUAGACUUC
Molecule: ribosomal RNA, 212 nt
Filed under: Vibrio parahaemolyticus
Lineage: Bacteria; Pseudomonadati; Pseudomonadota; Gammaproteobacteria; Vibrionales; Vibrionaceae
Description: partial 23S ribosomal RNA
Rfam family: Bacterial large subunit ribosomal RNA
Source: RNAcentral